AAUGAACGCUGGCGGCAUGCCUAACACAUGCAAGUCGAACGGCAGCACCGUGAGUGCUGGCUCUUAGGGGCGGCGAGUGGGGGAAGCGUGACGUAUGCAUCGAAAUCUACUUUGUAGUGGGUGAUAACAUAGGAAAACUUACUCUAAUACCACAUACUUCCUACGUGUAUGAGCACGGGUUCUUUUGGCCUUUCGCGAGUGUAUGAGCCGAUCUCGGAUUAGCUAGUUGGCGGGGGAGAGGCCCACCAAGGCGACGAUCCGUAGCUGGUCUGAGAGGAUGAUCAGCCAGACUGGAACUGAGAAACGGUCCAGACUCCUACGGGAGGCAGCAGUGGGGAAUAUUGGACAAUGGGGGCAAGCCUGAUCCAGCCAUACCGCGUGGGUGAAGAAGGCCUUCGGGUUGUAAAGUCCUUUUGUUGGGAAAGAAAAGCAGCAGGUUAAUACCCCGCUGUUCUGACGGUACCCAAAGAAUAAGCACCGGCUAACUUCGUG
This 492-nucleotide ribosomal RNA is filed under the name uncultured bacterium. Its description in RNAcentral is "partial 16S ribosomal RNA". It matches the Rfam family "Bacterial small subunit ribosomal RNA", at positions 29 to 507 of the family's 1533-position model. The record is from RNAcentral.